RNAcentral lists this non-coding RNA (69 nucleotides) under Succinivibrio dextrinosolvens. The record is from RNAcentral. Lineage: Bacteria; Pseudomonadati; Pseudomonadota; Gammaproteobacteria; Aeromonadales; Succinivibrionaceae.
AAACGCCGUAUGCGGAUCCGCACGUACGGUGUUGUGAGAGGGCUGAGCUAAAUACUCGCCCUACUCGAU